CGGCCAUCCACCAGCUGCUGACCAACGGGGGCCUGGCCAAGCUGGCCAGCAGCCUCCCGGGGCUGGCACACAUCUCCAACCAGGCUGCAGGCCUGAAGGCCCCGACCACCAUCACUGUGACACUGCGGGGACAGCCUGGCCGCAUGGGCAGCCUGAGCCAGGCAGGGCUGGGGACAGCACAGCCCCAGCUGGAGGAGCAGCCUCAGGGCCCUCAGUGACCACCCUGGAGCCCCUGUGGUGUGGGAUUGGUGAGGCUGUGCCUGCCCCUGGAGCCUCCUGUGCCAGCCUGGGCACCCCAAGGUGGCGCCUG
RNAcentral lists this long non-coding RNA (310 nucleotides) under Zosterops lateralis melanops. Its description in RNAcentral is "lncRNA (ENSZLMG00000012099.1)". The record is from RNAcentral. Lineage: Eukaryota; Metazoa; Chordata; Aves; Passeriformes; Zosteropidae.